AAUUAUGAAUUUUGGUAUUAUUUUUUUUUCAAAUUGUAUUUUUUGAAUUAUUAACGUUACAAAAAUUGUAACGUUAAUAUUAAUAGAGGCAAUAGGAAGCUGCCACUUGGCAUGAUCUGAAUGGGAGGCAGGAGAUCGACGUGCGUCAGAAUCUCCUGCAGCACGUCAGUUUUUUUUUUCUGCUUUCCUCCAUUGAUGGCGUGACAUGUGGCGAUUUCAUUUUUUUUAAGCGUUUCUUCUCUUUCCACUUCCAGCGUGGCUUGCAAACUUAUUUCAUGAACCAAUUCGGAUUUCUGAAUGGUUGAGUAUUGAUUCAUGUGUGAACCUUUUUUAUUUUCAUCAUUAAGAGAAAAAUUAAUGGUUCAUCCUCAUGAACCAUUUUUUUUUCAUCAUUAAGAGUGCUCUAAGUUUUGGAAUUUUCUACGCGGUGGAGAGAAAGAAUUUGUAUUCUCUCACGUGACCCUCUGUUAUUGUUUUACAAACAAAAGUGACAUUAAUGAGUAUAUUCCAUCCAAUAUUCUGUUAAAUUUGUUCUAAACACAAAUUCAUCCUUUAAUCUUCCUCACGUUCCCUUUUCUAAAAAUCGAUAGCCUCCAUUCUCCCUAUUACAGCCCCCGCCCUACCCCUCAUUUGGCACUAUAUGAGAGAAUUCGAGGGGGCGGGAUUUCCGGCAAGGACUCUAGUGUAGCAGACGCAACCAAGAUAUAAAAUCUCUGGUUGAUAUGAUACAUACUUCAUAUGGGAGAGCUAGUGAGGAAUCAUAGUUAGUCAAGGAGUUGUUAUUUUAUUUUUCUUUAAUCCAUUGUUAUAUAGUUGUACAAUAAAGUUAUUUCAAUAAAGAUAAUUUAGUUAAGUUA
Long non-coding RNA from Beta vulgaris subsp. vulgaris (sugar beet), 857 nucleotides. RefSeq lists it as uncharacterized. The record is from RefSeq and is a predicted model, not a curated record. NCBI's taxonomy places the organism in Eukaryota, Viridiplantae, Streptophyta, Magnoliopsida, Caryophyllales, Amaranthaceae. The transcript has 2 exons.